Canis lupus familiaris (dog) is the source of this 232-nucleotide long non-coding RNA. RefSeq lists it as uncharacterized. The record is from RefSeq and is a predicted model, not a curated record. The transcript is spliced from 3 exons. NCBI's taxonomy places the organism in Eukaryota, Metazoa, Chordata, Mammalia, Carnivora, Canidae.
UGUGUUCCUAGGUCAGCAGCCUCUCUGUUCUGCCCACGUUGUAAGGAUGGCGGAGAAAUUCUCCUUUUGGUGGACAGAGUAACUUACUGAUUGAGGAACUACAGGAAGUUCUUCACAUCAAGAUCUCUAUCCCACACGUUCAGUCUCAACUCCGCCCUUCCAGGACACUUGAGAGGGGCCAGAGUUAUACAGGAAGACAUACAGGUGGUUGGUAUCCGGUCCGAGAUUGUGC